UCUGAUUUGUCAACAGGAACAACUGACUUGUGGCAGCUAAGCGUUCAUAGCAACCUUGCUUUUUGAUCUUCGAUAUCGGCUCUUCUUAUCAUACUGAAGCAGAAUCAGUAAGCGCUGGAUUGUUCACCCACUAAUAGGGAACAAGACCUGGGGUUUAGACCGUCGUGAGGCAAGCUAGUU
This is a ribosomal RNA of 180 nucleotides. It matches the Rfam family "Eukaryotic large subunit ribosomal RNA", at positions 2412 to 2988 of the family's 3401-position model. The record is from Rfam.